UCGCAGGUCAGCAUACUGCGGUGAAUACGUUCCCGGGUCUUGUACACACCGCCCGUCACACCAUGGGAGCCGGAAAUGCCCGAAGCCAGUGACCCAACCUUAGGGAGGGAGCUGUCGAAGGUGGAGCCGGUAACUGGGGUGAAGUCGUAACAAGGUAGC
RNAcentral lists this ribosomal RNA (159 nucleotides) under uncultured bacterium. Its description in RNAcentral is "partial 16S ribosomal RNA". It matches the Rfam family "Bacterial small subunit ribosomal RNA", at positions 1342 to 1500 of the family's 1533-position model. The record is from RNAcentral.